Molecule: ribosomal RNA, 460 nt
Filed under: uncultured bacterium
Lineage: Bacteria
Description: partial 16S ribosomal RNA
Rfam family: Bacterial small subunit ribosomal RNA
Source: RNAcentral
CCUACGGGCGGCAGCAGUGAGGAAUAUUGGUCAAUGGACGAGAGCCUGAACCAGCCAAGUAGCGUGAAGGAUGACUGCCCUACGGGUCGUAAACUUCUUUUAUAUGGGAAUAACAUGUUCCACGUGUGGGGGUCUGUAGGUACCAUAUGAAUAAGGAUCGGCUAAAUCCGUGCCAGCAGCCGCGGUAAUACGGAGGAGCCGAGCGUUAUCCGGAUUUAUUGGGCUUAAAGGGAGCGUAGGUGGGGCGUUAAGUCAGGUGUGAAAGUCUGCGGCUCAACCGUAAACUUGCAAUUGAUACUGGCAGCCUUGAGUACAGUUGAGGUAGGCGGAAUUCGUGGUGUAGCGGUGAAAUGCUUAGAUAUCACGAAGAACCCCGAUUGCGAAGGCAGCUUACUAAGCUGUGACUGACAUUGAGGCUCGAAGGUGUGGGUAUCAAACAGGAUUAGAUACCCGAGUAGUC